CUUAGUCUCCUAACGGGGUUCCACUGCUCACCUCAGGGCGCAGCAGCUCAAAGCCCUUGUUUCUCAGUAGGGCGGAGAACCAGUGUCUGAUGCAUCGGACGACCUCACCCCAGGGACGUGGGAACCACACCAAUGCAGCAGCAUUUCUUACCCCACCACACACGGCAGAGGCAACACACAUGGAGGAGUCCGUGGGGCCCAGAGAGAAUGUUCCAGAAAUGAGAGUACGGUGGGAGAGGGCAGGGAUCGAGUCCCACUUGGGGAAAAGCGUCACCUGCUUACCAUAGCCAUUGUCCAGGAAGUCCGUGAUGAAGCGGGCACUGCACGGGGACCAGGGCUCCUCAGGAUCCACGUGAGCCAUGACAGGAGCCAUGACGUGGCGAGAGGAGCCCCCGUGCCCAUUCAGACUGACACAUGGCUUGGAGUUAUCGUGGAGCAUGUUGAAGACAUGGCCUGUAAGAGAAGAGGUCCCGCUAGUGCCCAAGGGUGCCAUCCUGUGUCCCCAGGGGGCAUCCAUGAUAAGCUUGGCUGCAGCUGGUGAUGAUAGGCGCCACCUCCCCUCCCCCAUCUCAGAUCCCCUGAUGGUUCUCUGAAGGGUCCAUGUGUAGCUCCUAUUGCUCUGUCUCCUCUUCCCCAAAGGAAAGGGUCCUUCUGCUCAUUUUCCAUUGUAGCUAACAUUCCCAAUCCUCAAACCCCAUUCUCUUACUCUCUCCCCUUCCAAACAUGUAUAGUCAUGCACAUAUACACAGUCCAAAGUAGUCCCCACUUGCUGCUUUAUAUAAUAGAAAGAUCUGUUUGCACCCAGAACAGAGAAGGAUAUUGACCUUGGACCUAGACCUGGGAGAAGAAAGAGGAGGAGGAGGAGGAGGAGGAGAAUACCCCCAUUUGCACUCUAGUGAGCCCCUUAUCUCCUUUAGCAUCCUCAGUACCCCUCACCGCCCCUUCAGGUGCCACACUGCCCCAGCACUACCUUACCCAGCUCGUGAGCAGCAGUGAAGGCUGACUGGAGUCCAUCGUCCUCCACGAUAGCACAGCUCCGGGCUGGAUCGCACACUGUGCCCACAUCAGCCAUGCCCAGGGUGUCACAAGUCGAGACCCCACACAGGUCCUGUAGAGAAGGGGCACAGAAGACGUUUGGGGCUGAAUACCCAGAUUAGUGAGGCCCUAGAUGCUGAGCACCCAGCAUGGUCAAGCCAACCCAUGUCACUAUGGCUGGGGCCAGGUACAUGAUGAUGCACAACUCUAGGGAUAGCCUUUCCAUCACGGUUUGUGCGUUGGCGGUGUCUCUUUGGGUUGUGGUUCUUCGCAUGUGGUGCUGACUGGGGCCUUACCUGACGGGUGAACAGAAUGGCUGUGUCAAAAUGGUCAGGAUCUGAGUCCUCAGGGGUAUUGAGGCCCCGCUGCCAGGUACAGAAGCUGCGUAGGGUCUGGGCCGCACUUGGCUCCACUUGGGGCCCUUCCUGGCCUGACCCCAGGAUCACUAGCCGAGUCACCACCAAGCUGACCGGGUUUCGGAUGCUUGGGUGCUUAAAGGCCUUGGCUGCCGCUGCCAUCACUGUCAGCAGGUAGCGCUUUAACCCUGUCCCAUGAAAUGCCGCCAUCUUGUCGUCGGCCACCACCAGUGUCUCCACGAAUCUACUCAGAGAAGCAAAGCGCUGAAGAGAAAAAAAAGAGAGAGAGGAAGGUCCUGAAAUAGCCUCCCAGAUCCAUGGAUCCCUUCUCCUCUCCCUCUCUUCCUGGGUCUAGAACUCAGCAGAGUCAGCUGGCCCUCACACACCCCACAGGAUUCCUGAAGUGACUGCUUUGGACCUCCCCCCCACCCCCCCACCCCCAAAUCCCAGGGCUUUUGUGGCAAUGUUGAAGAAUCAGCUGUUGUUCUGAAAGAGGAGAAAGCCUUGCCACGUUUCAGGGCUGAGUGGGCCCCAGAGGUGAAAAGCAGCUGGGAGUGUGCUGCGGGAGGGGCCCUAGGGUCUCGGGAGUGUGUGGCAGGGGCUGAGGGACAGAGCUAGAGGGCUGGGCUGCGACAGACAGCGAGACAGCGACGUGUCUGCCCUGUGUGGUUGGAGGAACAAUUCAGUCAGCAGCUAGGGCCACAGCCAGAUCUCAGCGUGGCGGGUGUGGAAGGAGCGUCUGGUCUGGAUUAAAGCUACAGAGAAGGGGUGGGAGAGAGAAAAAAAAAAGGGGGAGACCCAGGAGUGGGAGGGAGGGAAGGAUGGCGCCUCAGGCAGCCUUGCAGUCAGCCCACAGUGUGGGAAGAGGAUUGACCCGGAGGGAUGGGAUGCCUCUCCUCGGCCUGCCUAGCUUGCAGUUUGCCAGAACAAUUUUAAAGGCAACGGCAGAAGCCAAAAAAUCCCCAAUCCCUCAGGCCUCAAACUUCACUCCUCUAGCUGGGGGUGAGGGUAAAAAUCACUGGGGCAGAGAAAUGAGCCUAGGCCGACAGGCUGUUAGGAGAGCUGUACUGCUGGGAACUGUGUCAGCAGGAGACUCCAUGGCCAGGAAGGGGCGGGGUAGGGAGGGGGAGAGGUCAUUCCGGCCCAGAGAAUCUGACUGACUUACCUCAGGGAAUCCUCAGAGCAAAGCAAAUGGCUGGGGCAGGGAGAAGCCGACACUUUCCCAAAGUAGGGGUGGUAGAGAUAGGAAAAGGCAGAGAAGAGAAAAGCUGGAAAGGGGGAAGUGGAAGUGAGAGGAGAGAGGGCACAUAGGGGUCAGUAGGACAGACAUGGCGGGAGGGUGACACAGGACAAAAACCCCCGGGGGCUGCCUACCUUGGAUCUUCGGGGAAUGGGAUUGGGGCUCCCAGAAGGAGCCUUGACGUUGCACAUGGGACCUUGGCUGCUGGCAGGACUCUUCCGGCGUAGAAUGUGAGCCCCUGGUCCCCCAGCAGAGUUAAGGGUGCCUCCCUCCAGAGGUUGGAGGUGGAGUUCAGCCCCCCGGUACUGCAACACCCCUAGAAGGGCUCCCCCGUCCCAGUGCAGAGAUGCCACCGACUCCGGAUCUCCGUUGAUGGUGCCCGUCAGGUAGGUACCUGGCUCUGCCCCACCCAGCAUCUCAGGUGCCUGGCCCAGGUACUGCACCGUCAGCCCCUCUACCUGCACCCCGGGGUCCUGCUCUAGUUCCAGGAGUAGCACCUCCCCGAAGGCUGGCAAGCGGCACAGGAGCCUGGCAGGGGUACCGGAGCCGGGCAAGAUGCUGCCAUUGAGCUUCUCUGGGAACACGAUUUCCUCCUCCCGGGGGAGGGGGUGGGCUGACCAGGCAGAGGGCAGGAGGGAAGCCAGCAGCAGCAGCAGCAGCCGCCGCCGCCGCCACCACCACACCAGACCAGAGAAAGGCACGCUGUGAAGCUGCGAGCCGACAGGGACUCUUCGCAGCCAGUGCCCAGUCAAGCCCCUCCCGGGAUGCAAGCCCAUCUGGGACAUGGUACCGGUGCUGCAGCUGGGAUGGAUUGAGGCCAUCUGAGGCACCAGGUCCUCCACACCCUCACUGUGGAAAGCUCCUCGUUAAAGCCGGAGGGGCUCGGACUUGUGCCAAAAUCUGAGGCGAAGUUUUUAGAGGGGCUAGAGACGUUCAGAGACGAUGAAGAAAACAGCCCCUGGGCCCAGGAAAAGUGCCUAGGGGACCUCUCUCCUCCAAAACUUCCUCCUGUGCACUUCUCUCCUGGGUCUUUGUCUCUCCCUGUCUGUGUCUUCUUCAGCUUCUCUGGCUUCACCCUCUGCCCAGCUGUGUGGCUCUGUCUCAGUGCCUGCUCUGUCUCUGUCUCCUUUGGCUGUCUCUUUGUCUCUGUCUCUCUCCUCCUCGGUCUCUUUCCUUUCUGUGUAUCAGUGGGUCUCCCCCGGGUUCUCCCCAGCCUCUCUCCCCGCCAGCUCUUUUAAGCAUCCAGAGCCUCCCUCUGUGUGUGAUUGACUGUUCUGUAAGCCACUCAGCAGAAGCUCGGUCAGUGGGACUCAGAUGGAUGGAUGUAUCAUUGCUUCCCUUAAAAAAAGACAGGGAAAAAAAUAGGAGGGACUUGCCCAGGGGAAGGGAAUCUCUAGCAGCCAGAUGCAUUAUAGGCACGGAGCCAGUGGAUGACACAUCCUUUUCCCAAAUCCCACCACCAGCCCUCAGCUGUCUCUUUCCCUUUUUGGUGGGACAGAGCCCCAAGGGAAGCAGGGACUCGGGGAAAGGGCCUGGGCAACACACACGGAUGAGAUUACGUCCUGGGAGAAUUCAUGUCCCUACUGUCCAGUCUGGAACAGCCUAUCAUCAGGUGUCACUUAUGUUGCCCUCUAUCCCAGAGGCUGAUUUCUAGGGCCAAGCUGUCUGGUUUGAAAAGGAGGCGGGGAACAGGUAAGGAAGAAUGAAGAGAGAAGAGAGGAUGGGACCAUGAGGAAGGAAGGGGCAGGAGAGACAAGAGAGCAGGAGACAGCUCAGGACCUUUCUGUUGGAAUGGGAAUAAGAAAUAAACAGACGACGAAGAAGUCAGCUACUUUUCUUUUUAUAGGAGGAAGAUACAGACUAUGUCUUUUCUUCUCUCUCUCUCUCUCUCCCUCUCUCUCUCUCUGCUAUGCAUUCCUGAGUUACCCUUACCCUAUUCAAAGAAAUGAAACAGCCAUUCCAUCCUAGGCCUCCUCCUCCCCGACUUCCUGACUGCCCAUUCCCCUGGCUCAGCUCCCAGGAGCUUCCCCCAGGCUUUUGGCCCUGUUCCUACCUACUCCCAACUACCCCAGAGCCUCCCCCUUCCUCAAGUCAGCCAGCCUCUCACCUAGACAAGACCUGCUCUCUUGGGAACCAGAAUCACUCAGUCAAUCCUUGUUCCCUCGCACCCCACCUUUCGAGUCCAGUAGUUCCUGGAAUAUCUAGUAAUCGUUGACUCCUCAUUCUCCAUGGGGCAGAGUGAGAGGGUGCAAAUAGCAUUUGAGGGCACCAAGAGGAACAGGAGCCUAGAACCUGGGAUGGGGAUAGUGAUUGGUGGGUGCAUGUGUGGGGGCGUUAGAGAAGGGAGCUAAUGACUUCUCUGAUUCGGAACUGGAGGGGACUAAGGAGAUAAAAAGCAGACUCUAGAGGCAAGGAAGUAGAGUUCAGAAGUGGGGCCAUUUCUGUUCACUCCACCCUGUGGCCACUUGUUUCCCCAGGAAAUCCCCAGGAAGGAGAGUACACUCAGCGGUCCCUUCCCUUUCCCAGAGAAGCACCCCAACCCUCUCCUACCCCAUCCCCUUUAUUCAUGUUGGGCCUUGUCACCUCCUGUGCCCAAGAUCGCACUCAUCAGGGGGCUUCCUCUCCCCGUCCCUUCCUGCUCCAGUCACUAAUCCCUGCCCUGGUGCCUAUCACUUCCUCAAUUACCCACCCUGUGGUGACUCCCAGUCUCACCUCUUGACCUCAUCACAUGCCCUGACCCUCCCUGGUCCUGAGUGGAGGGGCUGAGGCUGGAGGAGCCACACAAGGGAUGAGGGACCAGAAGGGACAGGGGCAAGAGGAGCUGUCACCAGGGUAUCCUAUUGCUCCUUUCCAUCCCCCCACCCGAGAUGGGAACAAAGAGGGUGACUAAGCGGUGGAAGACAAAGGACCAUAGAAUGGCAGCCACAGCAUGUGGGGGGUGUUGGCAGAAGGGAGAAGGCACAAAAGAUGCAGUGUCCUAGGCAGCCCCCCAAGAGCCUUCCGCCCAGUCUCAGCUCAAACUGCCCCCAGGGCUAAGCAAGCUAGAGUCUAUCUUGACUUCUCCUCGUAGGCUGCACUAACACAAAAAAAAUGAGUAAUCCGCCUCCUCUCAUCAUUAACACAUUUAGCGUUUAAACUAUAUUGCAGGGAAGAAGGCCUAGGAAAGGGAGGGAUAUAUAGAGGGACCAAGCCUC
Molecule: non-coding RNA, 5825 nt
Organism: Peromyscus maniculatus bairdii (prairie deer mouse)
Lineage: Eukaryota; Metazoa; Chordata; Mammalia; Rodentia; Cricetidae
Source: RefSeq, a predicted model, not a curated record